CGCACGGUAAACGAUGGAUGCCCGUUCUGCGGCCUUAUGGCCGCGGGACCAAGCGAAAGCAUUAAGCAUCCCACCUGGGGAGUACGCCGGCAACGGUGAAACUCAAAGGAAUUGACGGGG
RNAcentral lists this ribosomal RNA (120 nucleotides) under uncultured bacterium. RNAcentral's name for it is "partial 16S ribosomal RNA". It matches the Rfam family "Bacterial small subunit ribosomal RNA", at positions 796 to 918 of the family's 1533-position model. The record is from RNAcentral.